This 495-nucleotide ribosomal RNA is filed under the name uncultured bacterium. RNAcentral describes it as "partial 16S ribosomal RNA". It matches the Rfam family "Bacterial small subunit ribosomal RNA", at positions 28 to 507 of the family's 1533-position model. The record is from RNAcentral.
GACGAACGCUGGCGGCGUGCCUAAUACAUGCAAGUAGAACGCUGAAGGAGGAGCUUGCUCUUCUGGAUGAGUUGCGAACGGGUGAGUAACGCGUAGGUAACCUGCCUGGUAGCGGGGGAUAACUAUUGGAAACGAUAGCUAAUACCGCAUAAUAGUAGAUGUUGCAUGAUAUUUACUUAAAAGGUGCAAUUGCACCACUACCAGAUGGACCUGCGUUGUAUUAGCUAGUUGGUGGGGUAACGGCUCACCAAGGCGACGAUACAUAGCCGACCUGAGAGGGUGAUCGGCCACACUGGGACUGAGACACGGCCCAGACUCCUACGGGAGGCAGCAGUAGGGAAUCUUCGGCAAUGGACGAAAGUCUGACCGAGCAACGCCGCGUGAGUGAAGAAGGUUUUCGGAUCGUAAAGCUCUGUUGUAAGAGAAGAACGAGUGUGAGAGUGGAAAGUUCACACUGUGACGGUAUCUUAACAGAAAGGGACGGCUAACUACGUG